AUGGCUAGGUCUUUCUGGAUUUUUUUCACCUUUAAGAAGGCCUUUUUAGCAGUUAUAUUUCUCUUUAUGAGAGUAUUUUUAAGGACGACAAUACAUUGGUACUAAAGAAAAUCUUCGGCAUUGCAACUGUAUCUAUAAUCGUAAGUAUUCAUAUACUCAUACCCGAAACCAGUUAAAUUUUAUGGUAUUUCAAAAUAACAUAAUGCACGUGUUUAACAAACUAA
Molecule: long non-coding RNA, 224 nt
Filed under: Vigna radiata
Lineage: Eukaryota; Viridiplantae; Streptophyta; Magnoliopsida; Fabales; Fabaceae
Description: long non-coding RNA (VRAD_LNC001598)
Source: RNAcentral